AAACGCUGUCUCUCGGGACGGUCAGAUGCAGGCCCGCAAGAGGGAGGCCAAGUGCGACUUCUGGGGCCUCUCAGCAAGUGAGGGCCAAGGGGGCCUCUGGGGAGCCGUGUGAGGUGGGAAUCCGCCCCGGACCUGGCCAGCUUGGAAACCUGCCCCUGGCUCUGUCUCCGAGGAAGCAGCUCCAGCUCGUCCGUUCUCACGGGCCCUGGAGAUUCACUUUGCACGGUGCAGCCUCGGACCCUGCUCUUCCUCGGGGCGCCUGACCGUGGAUCUCAGCGGCCUGGCGCCUAACACAGAGCCUGGCACCGACGGAGCAUAGCUCGAAUGUUUGCUGCACAAAGGAGAGGUGCUGGGGCGGGAAGGCACACAGGGAACUCUGGCCUGGCCCUGGCCUCUUUGGGAAAGGCGAACAUAAUCUCAGCUCAAUCUACAAGGGAUCAGAUGAGACCGCACAAACAGCUGCCUUCAGAGAAUGGGAUGUUUCUGGGUCAUGGGAAGAGACGCUGGAGGUCCACUUCAGCUAGACCCUUCAGGAGGGUCUCUCAGAGCAGAGGCCUGCAAGUCGAGAAGGAGCCAGCCACGAAAGCAUCUUGGAGGAGCGCAAUCCAGGCAGAGGGAACAGCGAAGAGGCCCGUGUGGCUGGAGCGAGAGCCGAGCCGAGCAUAAGCAUGUGGAGCCGCCAGGAGGAGG
This 690-nucleotide long non-coding RNA is filed under the name Homo sapiens (human). RNAcentral's name for it is "non-protein coding lnc-KLHL26-1:1". Lineage: Eukaryota; Metazoa; Chordata; Mammalia; Primates; Hominidae. The record is from RNAcentral.